GGAACUUCCGUUCAAGCAGAGAUUACUGAAAUAAAACCGUUAGAGCUUAAAUUGAAAUUCGGUUCCGGCUUACAUGGGCGGAUACAUAUCACCGAGGCGAGCGAUGGUAAUGUUUCGGAGAACCCGUUUAGUAACUAUAAGAUUGGGCAGGCAACUUACAGCAAAGAUCGUGUCUAAAUCUAAAGCCGAAAAAAGUAGUAAUAUUCGGUUCGAGCUGUCCAUCAAACCAUCUGUGCUUACAGACCAAUCAGUCG
Helianthus annuus (common sunflower) is the source of this 254-nucleotide long non-coding RNA. RefSeq lists it as uncharacterized. The transcript has 3 exons. The record is from RefSeq and is a predicted model, not a curated record. NCBI's taxonomy places the organism in Eukaryota, Viridiplantae, Streptophyta, Magnoliopsida, Asterales, Asteraceae.